AGUGAACGCUGGCGGUAGGCCUAACACAUGCAAGUCGAACGGCAGCACAGUAAGAGCUUGCUCUUACGGGUGGCGAGUGGCGGACGGGUGAGGAAUACAUCGGAAUCUACUUUUUCGUGGGGGAUAACGUAGGGAAACUUACGCUAAUACCGCAUACGACCUACGGGUGAAAGCAGGGGAUCUUCGGACCUUGCGCGAUUGAAUGAGCCGAUGUCGAAUUAGCUAGUUGGCGGGGUAAAGGCCCACCAAGGCGACGAUCCGUAGCUGGUCUGAGAGGAUGAUCAGCCACACUGGAACUGAGACACGGUCCAGACUCCUACGGGAGGCAGCAGUGGGGAAUAUUGGACAAUGGGCGCAAGCCUGAUCCAGCCAUACCGCGUGGGUGAAGAAGGCCUUCGGGUUGUAAAGCCCUUUUGUUGGGAAAGAAAAGUAGCAGGUUAAUACCCCGCUGUUCUGACGGUACCCAAAGAAUAAGCACCGGCUAACUUCGUG
This 492-nucleotide ribosomal RNA is filed under the name uncultured bacterium. Its description in RNAcentral is "partial 16S ribosomal RNA". It matches the Rfam family "Bacterial small subunit ribosomal RNA", at positions 29 to 507 of the family's 1533-position model. The record is from RNAcentral.